This is a long non-coding RNA of Callithrix jacchus (white-tufted-ear marmoset), 7698 nucleotides long. RefSeq lists it as uncharacterized. The record is from RefSeq and is a predicted model, not a curated record. Lineage: Eukaryota; Metazoa; Chordata; Mammalia; Primates; Cebidae.
CCUGUAAUCCCAGCACUUUGGGAGGCCGAGGCGGGUGGAUCACCUGAGAUUGGGAGUUCAAGACUAGCCUGACCAGCAGGGUUAAACCCGUCUCUACUAAAAUACAAAAUUAGCAGGGCAUGGUGACACAUGCCUGUAAUCCCAGCUACUUGGGAGGCUGAGGCAGGAGAAUCACUUGAACCCAGGAGGUAGAGGUUGUGGUGAGCUGAGAUAAUGCCAUUGCACUCCAGCCUGGGCAACAAGAGCAGAACUCCAUCUCAAAUAAAAAAGAAAAAAAAAAGCAACACAAAAUAAACUGGUCAAAAGAGACUCGCUAUCCUCUCUCUCACAGGAGGCUGAAGACACUCACACUUCCUCCUUUUAAGUCUUCAGCUUUUCUUCGUUAUCACACCCAAGGCUUUCAUAGCUGGUCAGAACCUCAGCGCUGGAAGAGGCCUGCGAGAACACUGCACUAAAUUUUUUCAUCUGAAGACGGACCCAGGCCGUCAUCUCUUGACCCCCUCAUCCAGUGCUGUUCUCCUGCACCUCCCUGAUGAGUUUCAACACUCCAUUCCCUCCGAGAAGCCAAGCCGGAGCACCUCUAAAUUGAACGAGCCAGAAACAGAGAACUCUAUGCAAACAACACCACUGCUCGGAGGUGAUAAGGAAGCCUAUCAUGCUGGGAACCACACCUAACAAGAGAGUGACUGCGUCCCAGACUUCAACUGCCUUAACAACAGGCAGCAUCAAAGGUGUGACAGGAGGACUAAGGACAACUGUGUUCAAACUGAAGUCAUGAUGUUGGAAUCUUGAGGGCUGAAAGUUCCAGAGACGAUAUGGAAUUAUAUUUGACCUGAAAUGUUCCCUUCCUGGAGCUCCGGAUGCUGCAAUUAAGAGGUUCCAUGUGACACUGCCUUCCGGCUUUUCCUUAGGUUUUGUCGUGGAGUCCCUUUUUUUUUCUUCCUUCUUUCUCCAGUGUACACUUGAAGGUUUGCAACGCUUCACGCUUGAAGACUUGGGAAAAACUGAGUCAAUUCAAUCUGACCGACUUCAUAGUCACCGGCUUCACAUGCAUUUGCUUGCUGUGAAAAGAAAAGCAUGUGAAGAAAAAUAUAUUGCCACUGAAGGAAUGGAUCUGUCUCAAAUAUAAUUGCUCAUUUUUAUCUGUCCCUUGUGUACAUACUCCUUCCAGCCCUAGCUCUUCUGAAUGGACGCACCCUCCAGGCCACUUCCGCAUCCGGCCACGCUACCAACGUCUUUGCCAGUGCCAACGUCCUGGGUCUCUUCUUGAUUCUCUGAGAUCCCUGGGGCUGCUCACAAGGCUUGAGGCCCUGGGCUCUUAGAAGCUGAAAGAAAACCUGAAAGAAAUUCACUGGGCUUUGCAAUCAUUGUGCUAAAACACCUCCAGCAAGGAGCUACAUCAUCCCAUUUCCGGGCACGUGGGUGCUGGAGCUACUGGGCUUCUAGCCCCGGGUUGACGGUCUUAGAGAACUUGAGAUCAGAUUCUGGUCCAGAGGGCAGAGCAGAUUGAGUUUCUUGAGAAGAAACCAGGAAGCAAUGACCGGCCUUGGAUUUUCUGGAGCAAUCCUGCUUUUAAGCAUUUUUAUUUUGUGGUCUACAAAAAUCCUUUUGUCCAUAUUAGAGCAUGUGUUCUAACUGCAGCAGGUGGACAUGGGGAAGUGGAGAGGUUGGGAAGAUGUAGGUGUAGCAAAUGACAGAAACUGAUGCGGGAACUGUUCUGGGGAGGCCACUGUCACUAUCAGGAUAUUGUGUUAUUAAGAGGGCCACUUAUAGGAACAGCGGUUGAGGCUGGUUUAUCUGUUUAGCUCAUUCUCAGUCUUGUCAGCUAAACAGACAUUGGGGCUCUGGUGUGUUGGUGGUGGAAGAAGAAUGGGAGGAUCUGGAGCUGGGAAUACACACAAGGGUCUAGCGCUUUGGCAGCAUUGCGAUGGGUGUGAUGCACAGCCAGAGGCUUUCAGGUGGCAUUGGGGAGCUGGGAUUGGAGGUGAAGGGGGAAAUGUAGAUUCAAUAAAAGGAAGGAGUAGGAGAAACUUUGCCUAUUCCACUGUUUUGUUUAGGCCAACCUUAAUCUCUGGGAUUUAACUUCUGAAUAAUGAAAUAAAAAAGAACAAACAGGCUGGGCACAGUGGCUCAUGCCUAUAAUUCCAGCACUUUGGGAGGCUAAGGUGGGUGAAUCAUGAGGUCAGGAGUUAGAGACCAGCCUGGCCAAGAUGGUAAAACCCCAUCUCUACUAAAAAUACAAAAAUUAGCUGGGCACAGUGGCAGUCGCCUAUAAUCCCAGCUACUCGGGAGGCUGAGGCAGGAGAAUUGCUUGAACCCAGGAGGUGGACGUUGUAGUGAGCCGAGAUCACUCUAGCCUGGGUGACAGACAGAGCAAGACUCUGUCUCAAAAAAAAAAAAAAAAAAUCCCAAAAAAGAACAAAUAAUAUGUGAAGAUAUUGAUGCCUGAUGUGGCACAUUGCUAGGGUCUUGGGUCAGUUCCUAGCAGUUUUGCUAGAAUGCAUAUUAGGAGGUAACAGGAUAACUACUGUGACUCCAGAGGGUUUUGACAAUCUGGUCCUGGUCUCUCACAAUUCAUCUUUGUCUACUUUCCCAUCAACUCAUGCUCUUGUCUUUCUGAAUUCUUCCCCAUUCCCAGACACUCUAAAUUUAUACCACUGUGCUGGCAGUAUUCUCACUGCUUAGUAGAAGACCAUCUCUCCUUAUUCUUUGGAAAAUUCUUUUUUUUGAGAUGGUGUUUAGCUCUGUCACCCAGGCUGGAGUGCAAUGGCAUGAUCUCAGCUCACUGUAACCUCUGCCUCUUGGGUUCAGGUAAUUCUCCUGUCUCAGCCUCCUGAGCAGCUGGGAUUACAGGUGCACACCACCACAUCCAGCUAAUUUUUCUAUUUUUAGUAGAGACAGGAUUUCACCAUGUUGGCCAGGCUGGACUCAAACUCCUGACCUUGUGAUCUGCCUGCCUCGGCCUCCCAAAGUGCUGGGAUUACAAGUGUGAUCAACUGCGCCUGGCCGGAAAAUUUUUAUUAUCUAUUCUUCACAUUCCCUGUCAAGUUUCUUUUAUAUGAUUUUUCUAGCUCUCUAGAUAAAAUUAAUCUUAUCCUUCUCUGAACUUUUGUUUUUAUUCAAUUAUAACAUAUGUAGAAUUAUAAUUAUUUCAUCAUCGGUGUCUCUCUGCUAGAUCAUGUAUGCUUUAAGGGAGGAGACCAGAGUUAAACUGAGUUGCCUUGCCUUACAUUAAACUAAGUGAAUGUCUGAGAUACGCAAUAGUCUCUCAGUAUUUGGUAGGUGUUUAUAAAAGGGAAAGAGAAUGGGAGUAGAGAAGCUCUGUCUUUGGUAUUGAUGUUGCAUAUUGGUAUAAACAUGUUCGUUUAAACAUACACAUACACAGAAAUAUAGAAGUAUUAAUACUAUGUGCCAUGUGCUAUGCUAAGAAAUUUUACAUGGAUGUUUGUACUUAAUCCCCACAAGGGUCUCUAAGGCCGAUAAUGGCAUUGUCUCUGUUUUAGAAGUGGGGAAAUAGAAAUAAGUAAGAGUUUAAGUGAUUUAUCCAAGGUCACAUAGCAUCAAUUCAAAUUUAUACAGUCUAACUCCAGAGCCCAAAACUUCAUCUGUUAUUACUAAUUACCUCCCUUUAUCGCAUCUCAGUGGAAACUGUCUUUCGUUCUUUUAGCUGCUUGACUCCCACUUUAGGAGCUAAAAACUCCAUUUUUUUUAGCCUCCCUUGCAGCUAGGAUGCAGGUAUGUGACCCAGGCUUGACUAAAUGGAUGCAUCUGCUAUUGCCUUUGAACUGGGAGCUGGUGACACAUGGAGACAGAGACGCAGCAAAUCCAGAGUCACUGAGGUGGAGCAGCACCAUUCGAAGUGCUGUGUCUGUGGCUGCCCGUCAACCUGUGAUAGCUACUGUUCAGUGUGAAGGGAGCGAUGGUGGUUUCCACAUUAGAUGGGUUAGGUGUUGUGAUUUUGGUUGUCCACCUGCUGCCUAGCUUCCCUUGUCUGGUCUCCUUUUCUAUGCCUGGUUUCAACACUGUUGAAAUGCCUUAAGCUGUUCAACAACACAGCAACAGAUGCUUUUCUCUGCUUAAAUCAGCUAGAGUUAUUUUCUGUUGCUUGCAGUAAACAACUCUGACUGGUAUAAUAUCCAAACUCAUUAUCUUGAAUAUGAGACCCUCAUAUACAUCAUUCUUACCUGGAAGAAAAAACACAUAAGUAACCAGAAUUUUUUGACUGUUCAAUAGAGCAGAGGGUGAAUGUGACAGACUGUGUAUCACUAGGAACAAUUUCUAGUUCAUCCAUCUGACUACUUAGGAUCAUAUGGCAAUUUGCAUGGAUGGUUAGGGGACUUUGUAGUACAUUCUUACAAAACUCAUGUCCCAAAAUGGACUUUUACCUUCCAGUGUAAUCUGACUCUGGGCUUUACAAAUUUAGUAAUAAAUUUUUCCUUUGAAUGUUCGGAAAGAAAAAUACUAAAUAUCUUUCUGGCUCACUAUAGGCAAAAUGGCUUCCUGAAAUUGUAGUAGUUAAAAAACUAAGAUCACAGUGGAAGCUGAAUUGCUGAAUUAUUUAACAUAAGCUGACUCAUUAGAGCCUUAGCUUCUGAGAUGGAAGAAAAUAUUCUAGUUUACAUAAAGGUUACUGAUAAAUUCCAAGAUAAAAUUCACUUUGAAGGGAGUAAAGUGUUGCUACAGGUAACUAAUUCCUGUGGCAUAAUGCAGUGAAGGAGUUGAGUUUACAGUUUGUCAGGGGGUUAUGAUUAUAAGGCAUUUCUGAAUUGCAGGAGAGGCUACUGCUUCAGAUGGUCAAGUGGUCUACUGAGAUGUCAGAUACUAGACAGGAAUAAACUUUACAGAGGCCAAGCGUUUGACCUUAGUAAGUCUAGACAUGCUAAUGUGAUUAUCAUCACUCUAAUUAGAUUAUAAAGUAAACACAGGCUUUACAAAGCAAAGAAUCCUAAGGGAUUGUUAUUUAGAAGAUGAAGAAAAGCUGCUUCCUAUCUCUCUUGAGGAUGCAACAGGAAGAAAUGGGGUGGUUGCAGCAUAGGGAUGUUGGUUUGAUCAGUGGUUCUCAACUGGGGACGAUUUGGCAAUAUGUGGAGACAUUUUUGGUUAUUAUACCCUGCGGGGGUGAGGAGGCAUCUGGCAUGGCUACUGGCAUUGAGUGGGGAGAUGCCAGGGUUGCUGCUAAACAUCCUGCCAUAUGCAGGACACCCCUGUAACUAAAGAGUUAUCUGGCCCCAAAUGUCAAAAGUGCUGAGGUUGGGAAACUCUGGGCUAGAAGUAAGAAAGAACUUGUUGAAUCUGAAGCGAUGUUAAUGUCGGAAUAAGUUUAUAGGCUCAGGACUACUAGGGACCACGUGAAGCAACUGCUUCAGGAAACAAAAUUUGAAAGAGUGCCCCAUACCUCAGUAAUCAAGAAAAAUAAUGCUUAAAAACUGAAAUUCAAUGCAAAAAAUAUCCAUGGUGGACAAUCUAUCAAAAUUUUAAAUAAAGACAGGAUUCAACAGAGAUAGGAUUAUGAUAGGGAAGUCAAAAUAUUGUUUAUCUUGAUUACCGAAGCUGUGGGCACCCCCUACCUUAAAUUCUGUGUUCAAGGUAAGUGCCUCAGCUGCUUCACACUGGCCCUGGCCUGUUGGAUCAUCAAGGGUAGAACAUCAUUUUAGCUAAAGGGUAAUUUGGCUUGAUUAUUACAAGCGAGGGGUGGUCAAGCCUGGUGAAAGUAAAUGAGAAGAUUCAGCUCUAGGAUUUUAGACUUUAGUGAAUAUGUUAAGUAAGGGAGCAACCUCCAUGUUGAGCUGCACAGAAAUUCCCUAAUAUAGGUUUUUAAUCUCUGUGAUUUAUAGCCUGGCUUGGAUUAUCCACGAUCAUCUUCAUUAUGAGUGGUAAUGUAUGGCUGACAUCCCAAAGAAACAUGUGGCAUGAACUGUGGUCUUUAUCAACAUGUUUUUGUUGUAAUUCAGCCUUCCAGAAAAAUAACCAUUGUAUGACUCUUCCAUUUUACUUACAAGUAAACCAUUACUUCUCUUCCUCUCCUCUUCACGAUCCCACUUCACCUCAAAACCAACUUAGCAUUCUUUCCUAGGCCUGAUUAAUAUUGACAUUAUUUUAUAUUAUUUGCAUCCUUUCCCCCUGCCAAAAUGCCUUAGAUGGAUUUUUAAAGGGGAUGAUUUUAAAUAUUUUUCCUUCUAAUAGGCUUGGGGAAAUUGUCUAUAUCUAAGUUUUUAGUUUAUGUAUGUGGGAUAUAGAGUACUUACAACAUGAUGCUGACGCCCUCAGAAAUGCCAGAUAAAAGUUUCAAAGAUAAUUUACUAUUCUGGGCAAGGCAACAUAGACAGUUAUAAAAAUUAUAGUAAUAUUACUAAUUAGGAGAAACGUAGCCUUGGAUCCAUACCAGAACAGUCUAACCAUUAUAGAUUGCCUUCCAUUAAUUUCCAUCUAUGAGUGUCUAGCCUAUUAGAGUGCCUGCAUUCAGCAAACGUGGUUGUUUGUGAAGUAACUAGAUAUGGGACCUACCACUUAACCACAUCUUAUCACUAAAUCUAACUGCCAUAUGUACAAUUGCUUUUGAUCUAUGCUAACCAUCUUUAUCUCAAUGCAAAUCUCAGCUUCCUAUCUGUUAUUUUUAAAAACACUUUCAUUAAAAAAUAGCAAAAAGUUGGGUUGAAUUAUAGGGUUUGAGUUUAGUAUUAUUAAAAAUUCUGUUAGAAACAAAGCAACAUCACGGGCUGCUUCUUUCAAACCACAUAGUCAUUGCUGUUUUUAUGAGCGAGUUUGUGCUUAUUUCUUAAGAAAAAAGAGGAAGGAAAAAAGUGUUAGAUGGGUAGAUAAAGAAUAACUCUAAUUUAAUUUAUAUUACCAAAGCUAGACAUAUCCAAAUGUUUUUCUUCUUUUUUUUUCUCUCUCUCUCCUUUUGGUACAUAGGUGAAUGGGAGUCUGCCUAAUGCUAAGCAAAAGGUACAUUUGAUUGUUUAAGAUUUAGGACUUUGCUGAGCUGCUUGGAUGUACAAGGCCAUAAUUACCUUGUGGCAUUAAAUUCAAAUCCUCCAAGAGAGGCCAGUGUUGAGUAUGAAGUGGAAAGAGUGUUGGCGUGCGGUAGAAAUCCUGCCCCUUCUUUGGGUUAUGAAUUUUGACCAAGGACAGGUCACAGAAUAUAGAUUCCUAGGUUUUCCUAUUUACAAAAUGAUGAUAAAAAUGCUUAGACGUUCCUUUGCAAUAAACUGUCCCUAUGAAUAUUAGGUUUGUGGGCUACAUUUUGUUCUAUGGCAGAAAAAUUAUGUCCCUUGGAGAAUUUUAGUCAGAUCUUCAGAAAGAAGGGAUGGAAAAUUGGAACUAAAUGGGGAGUGUGUUCUCUUUUCUAUAUUCAUGUUCUCUAAACAAAUGUUAUAACACCUAUUUUAUUUAAUCUUACAAAUAUAUACCAAACAAAUGAAGAAGUCAGUGAAUAAGUCAAAAGAGCAUUGCAAAUAUUAAGAAUCAUUUCAUAAAACUUUGUUCUUAUGCAUGCAUCAAGUGUAGGCCACAUGUAUAUGUUACUGUGGUUUGUGCUAGUCACUGCUAAUAAGAGAGUGUCAUAUAACAAUUUGAAUGGAAACACAUAAUUACUUAAAUAAGCUAUUUAUCAUGGAAGGCAUAAAUGUAGUGCUUAAAUAUUUUCUUUUUAUAAUUCAACUCCCUGCAUUGCAAUAUAACUUCAGCUAUUUAAAAACA